CAAUAGCGUAUAUUAAAGCUGUUGCGGUUAAAAAGCUCGUAGUUGGAUUUCUGUCAAGGACAACUGGUCCGCCCCUCGGGUGAGCACAUAGUUUGGUCUUGGCAUCUUGUUGGAAACUGUUGCUGCACUUGGUUGUGUGGCGCAGUGUCCAGCACUUUCACUUUGAGGAAAUUGGAGUGUUUCAAGCAGGCACAUGCCUUUGGACACAGUAGCAUGGAAUAAUUAGAUUGGGCUUUUGCGCCAACUUGUCGGUUUCUGGAGCUGAGGUGAGAAUUAAUGGGGAUUGUUGGGGGCAUCCGAAUUUAGCCGUCAGAGGUGAAAUUCUUGGAUCUGCUAAAGACGGACAACUGCGAAAGCGUUUGCCCAGGAUGUUUUCAUUGA
Molecule: ribosomal RNA, 381 nt
Filed under: uncultured eukaryote
Lineage: Eukaryota
Description: partial 18S ribosomal RNA
Rfam family: Eukaryotic small subunit ribosomal RNA
Source: RNAcentral